UGGGGAAUAUUGCACAAUGGGCGCAAGCCUGAUGCAGCCAUGCCGCGUGUGUGAAGAAGGCCUUCGGGUUGUAAAGCACUUUCAGCGGGGAGGAAGGCGGUGAGGUUAAUAACCUCACCGAUUGACGUUACCCGCAGAAGAAGCACCGGCUAACUCCGUGCCAGCAGCCGCGGUAAUACGGAGGGUGCAAGCGUUAAUCGGAAUUACUGGGCGUAAAGCGCACGCAGGCGGUCUGUCAAGUCGGAUGUGAAAUCCCCGGGCUCAACCUUGCAACUGCAUUCGAAACUUGCAGGCUAGAGUUUUUGAGAGGGGGGUAGAAUUCCAGGUGUAGCCGUUAAAUGCGUCGAGAUCUGGAGGGAUACCGGUGGCGAAGGCGGCCCCCUGGACAAAGACUGACGCUCAGGUGCGAAAGCGUGGGGAGCAAACAGG
This 429-nucleotide ribosomal RNA is filed under the name Chloroflexota bacterium. RNAcentral's name for it is "Chloroflexi bacterium partial 16S ribosomal RNA". It matches the Rfam family "Bacterial small subunit ribosomal RNA", at positions 355 to 776 of the family's 1533-position model. Lineage: Bacteria; Bacillati; Chloroflexota. The record is from RNAcentral.